This 468-nucleotide ribosomal RNA is filed under the name uncultured bacterium. RNAcentral describes it as "partial 16S ribosomal RNA". It matches the Rfam family "Bacterial small subunit ribosomal RNA", at positions 28 to 507 of the family's 1533-position model. The record is from RNAcentral.
GACGAACGCUGGCGGCGUGCUUAACACAUGCAAGUCGAACGGAAAGGCCCGGCUUUUGUGGGGUGCUCGAGUGGCGAACGGGUGAGUAACACGUGAGUAACCUGCCCUUGACUUUGGGAUAACUUCAGGAAACUGGGGCUAAUACCGGAUAGGAGCUCCUGCUGCAUGGUGUGGGUUGGAAAGUUUCGGCGGUUGGGGAUGGACUCGCGGCUUAUCAGCUUGUUGGUGGGGUAGUGGCUUACCAAGGCUUUGACGGGUAGCCGGCCUGAGAGGGUGACCGGCCACAUUGGGACUGCGGUACGGCCCAGACUCCUACGGGAGGCAGCAGUGGGGAAUCUUGCACAAUGGGCGGAAGCCUGAUGCAGCAACGCCGCGUGCGGGAUGACGGCCUUCGGGUUGUAAACCGCUUUCGCCUGUGACGAAGCGUGAGUGACGGUAAUGGGUAAAGAAGCACCGGCUAACUACGUG